This is a long non-coding RNA of Callithrix jacchus (white-tufted-ear marmoset), 4099 nucleotides long. RefSeq lists it as uncharacterized. NCBI's taxonomy places the organism in Eukaryota, Metazoa, Chordata, Mammalia, Primates, Cebidae. The record is from RefSeq and is a predicted model, not a curated record.
CCCAGAUACUGGAGGCUGUUUGAGUUCAUGUCGCGAGACUGGGUGCGCGGCGGUGGAGGGCACGCAGCGGGAUGCAUUUAUUAACUUUCUAACCUCCGUGAACCAACGUCCCUCGGUGUUCAGGACAGGAACUAUUAUGUGAAGAUGGCCUAUCAAAAUCAUUCUGCUGCAUUUCUUUAUUUCAGUAGAGAUGGGGUUUCGCCAUGUCGGCCAGUCUGAUCUUGAACUCCUGACUUCAACCCACCUGCCUCAGCCUCCCAAAGUGCUGGGAUUACAGGCAUGAGCCACGGCACCCGGCCUCAUUUCAAUUUUGACUUGACUUUCCAUGAUGACUGAUGAUGUUGAGCAUCCUUUCAUAUGCUUAUGACCAUUUAUAUUGCUGCUUUAGAGAAAUAUCUAGUCAAGAAAAUUAUUUUUACUGUUUUUAUUUUUGAGACAGAGUUUUGCUCAUUUCCCAGGCUACAGUGCAAUGUUGUGAUCUUGGCUCACCGCAACCUCUACCUCCCGGGUACAAGUGAUUCUCCUGCCUCAGCCUCUUGAGUAGCUGUGAUUACAGGUAACUGGGAUUACACCAUCAUGCCCAGCUAAUUUUGUAUUUUCAGUAGAGACGGGGUUUCUCUAUGUUGGUCAGGCUGGUCUUGAACUCCCGACCUCAGGUGAUCCCCCAAAGUAUUGGGAUUACAGGCGUGAGCCUCCACGCCUGGCCUUUACUAUAAUUUUUAGCAGAAAGAAAAUGAAUGUAUCACGGUGGUUAUUUUUAAGGUUUCCAACUUCCACUUUGUCCUGAGAUCUAUGCUGUGUUGUUUUCAGUGUUUUGAUGGGCCUUUUUGUUUUUAUAAAUGCCCCAGAAGUUGUAGUGCCACGAAAACUUUCUAGCAGUAUUUUAGAAGCUGACUGACAAUUUUCCUAAGUUUCAUUUACAUCACAUGAAGGCAGCAAUUGUUAAAAUAAAUUUCGAUUCCAUUAGGGUACGUUUUGCCAUCACAUUGGAGUCUCUCAAGAAUGAUUUUAGUCCCCUCAGAUGUCGUUACUGAGCAGUUUCUGGUGUGGAACAAGACUAAGAGCCAUUAGGUGGUGCUCUUUGAUUAAAAACAUUUAUUCUUUAAACAACUUAAAUACAGUAGUACAUUGCAGGAAAAAGUGGCCUUUAUUUUUUUUAGGGAUGAUCUCCCAGAUCUGCUUGAUUUUUUCUGCCAUUUCUAUUGAAGAGGCUAAUAAUAUGCUCAUCUCCUCCCAUCCCAAGCACCCCAAGACUGAUAUUUUUUUGUCACCUGCUGCUAAUUAUGCCUCCCAAAGAGUCUCUCAUCUCUGAUGCAGGGAGAAUCUUCUUGGUGGGGUCACGGCUUCUCUCGAGUCCAAGAGCUGUCUGUCCCACAGCCUGGUCAGACUCCUGCAGCCACAAACCCUAGGUCUCCCACCUCCUUCCUCACUCACUCCUCUCUGCUCAUUUUGUUUUGCCAAUGAUUCAUCAUGUAUUUCAAGGACUAUCUGCUCACUUCCCAGCUCUUUUUCAGUUUUGUUUUUUGAGACAGUCUCGCUCUGUCGCCUAGGCUGGAGUGCAGUGUCACAAUCUCAGCUCACUGUAACUUCUGCCUCCUGGAUUUAAGUGAUUCUCCUGCCUCAGCCUCCCCAGUAGCUGGGAUUAUAGGCAUGCACCACCACGCCCAGCUGAUUUAUUUUUAGAGAGGGUUUUGCCACGUUGGCCAUGCUGGUCUAACCUCGGGUGACUGGCCCAUCUUGACCUCCCAAAGUGCUGGGAUUACAGGUUUAAGCCACCACACCCGGCCCUAGCCCUUACUUUUGGUUGAGGGUUACCUUUCCUUUUGUUCUAAGAGCUGAGGUCAGUUGGAAAAACUGUCCCUUGUCUAAGUAUACUAAGAUGCACUCUUCUGGGCCCAGACUCGAUCUUCCUUUUUUGUAUUUUUAGUAGAGAUGGGGUUUCACCAUAUUGGCCAGGAUGGUCUCAAACUCCUGGCCUCAAGUGACCCAUCCACCUCAGCCUCCUAAAGUGCAUUACAGGCAUGAGCCACCAUGCCCAGCUGAUCUUCCUAACUCUAAAUCCUUACCCCCCUGUCUCUAAAGUCUGACCUUUUUAAUUCUUUUAGAGACAGAGUCUUGCUCUGUCACUUAGGCUUCGGUACAGUGGCAUGAUCACAGCUCACUGCAGCCUCAAACUCCUGGGCUCAGGUGAUCCUCCCCCAUCAGCCUCUCAAAUAGCAGGGACUAUGGGCACAUGCCACUACACCCAACUGAUUAUUUUUUGUAAAGACAGAGUCUUGCUAUGUUGCCCAUGCUGGUCUCAAACUCCCGGCCUUAAGUGAUUCUCCUUCCUCAACCAAAGCACUGGGAUUACAGGCGUGAGUCACAGUGCCUGGUCCUGAUCACCCUUUCUCCAUCACUUCUUCCCUAACACUUAGCUUCCCUGUCCCUUUCUCACCAUUAAAGGACCCCUACAUUCCUCUAGAAACAAUGUGGGACUAGAUUCUUCUGUCAUAAAGCCUAUUUUAAAAAAUAACAACAGGCUGGGCGCAGUGGUUCAUGCCUGUAAUAGAGCAGCACUUUGGGAGGCCGAGGUGGGCGGAUCACCUGAGGUCCGGCAUUUGAGACCAGCCUGACCAAUAUGGAGAAAGCUCUCUCUACUAAAAAUACAAAAAAAAUUAGCGGAGCCUGGUGGUGCAUGCCUGUAAUCCCAGCUAUUCAGGAGGCUGAGGCAGGAGAAUCACUUGAACCUGGGAGGCAGAGGUUGUGGUGAGCUGAGAUCAUGCCAUUGCACACCAGCCUGAGCAACAAGAGUGAAACUCCAUCUCAAAAACAAAAACAAAAGUAACAACAACGGCCAAUUUAAAUACUUUAGAAGAUUAUACUUUUCAAAUAUUUUACUAAAUCAUUUUUUAAACAAAAAUAUACAAACUCAGAUUUACAGAAUACAGAAAUAAUUUAUCCAAAGAAAUUUGCAUUUUAAAAUUGUUAAUAUUGCACCCAACAGUAUAAGUCUUUGACACAUUUGCAUUGUCAAUCUUUCCCACAAUUUGGAAAAACAGGAGAGAAAUCUGAAACUAACAGAAUUACACAAGUUAACUCUUCUGUAAAAAAAACUUACAAUUUUUCAUUUACAAGGAAAAGUUGUAAACGUUCAGAAUUUUACUUCCAUAGAAUAAACAGCCAUUCUUUUAGCAUACCUAGAAAAUGAACUAUAUACACAGUGUGAUUACCUCAUAGGAAUUCAACAGGACUGAUACGGUGAAUAUUCACAGCCUAAUGAUAAAAAAACAAUUACUGAAAUAUGGAAACUAUUGUGUGAAAGACACAGAAUGAGAAAAAUGUCUGGAAAAAAUUAAUUUUACCACUUUGAGGAGUUUCCACAGUUACCUAAAGUGAUCUUCAAAUGUAAAAGGACACACCAUUCCCCAGUCUUAGGAAAGUAGCUACCAACAGCCUUUUCUCUCGAGACAUAAGACAAGUGAAAAAAGUGAGGUCUUUGUUCAAGUCCCUUGUAAAAUACUUUACAUAUAGGCAGGCACAAAACUUUGCUUUUCAAAAGAAAGCUUUGAAAAAUAUUCUGCAAUUUAUCACUGAUAUCCUCAGUUUUUAAAAUCCCCUUUUUAAGCCCAUAAAUAUUUAGAUGCUUUAAAAAACGAGAGUAGGGAAUCAAAUCAUUUGGAACUGUGGGAAGCUGCUGAAAUAAUAUUUGAUAGUAAAAGUAUGUAAUGUGCUACUUCACCUAGUAGUGAACCAAAAACAAACUGAAACUUUAUAUUUAUGGAAUCUGAAGUUAUUUCCUUGAGUAAAUAGAAUUAUUACACUGUCAUGAGGAGAACAUGAAACCAGGCAGUCUACUAUCAACUUUGAAAAAGUGAUUGAACCACUUAGCUUCCAGAUGAUGAACACUGAUAAGUCUUUUGUCAUUACUACUAUAAAUGGAAAAAUCUGUUAGUGAGGCGGCCUAUGGGUGGGGCAGGAAGGAGUUUCUGGGAAAUUAUGCUGAAGAUCACAGAAAGGAAAAUGUAAGUUUAUAACACAAUACCACUUGAACUGAAAUAUGACAUGCUUUGUAAUUCUGUUGCCCUAGAUUGAGACUGAUUAAAAUGUUCCCUUUGAA